Molecule: small nuclear RNA, 105 nt
Organism: Lemur catta (Ring-tailed lemur)
Lineage: Eukaryota; Metazoa; Chordata; Mammalia; Primates; Lemuridae
Source: RefSeq, a predicted model, not a curated record
GUGCUUGCUUUGGUAGCACAUAUACUAAAUUGGAAUGAUACAGAGAAGAUUAGAAUGAUCCUACACAAGGCUGACAUACAAAUUCAUGAAGCAUUCCAUAUUUUU